Molecule: ribosomal RNA, 460 nt
Filed under: uncultured Desulfuromonas sp.
Lineage: Bacteria; Pseudomonadati; Thermodesulfobacteriota; Desulfuromonadia; Desulfuromonadales; Desulfuromonadaceae
Description: bacterial SSU rRNA
Rfam family: Bacterial small subunit ribosomal RNA
Source: RNAcentral
GCACAAGCGGUGGAGCAUGUGGUUAAUUCGACGCAACGCGAAGAACCUUACCUGGGCUUGACAUCCCGAUCGUACCUGCUGGAAACAGCGGGGUCAGUUCGGCUGGAUCGGAGACAGGUGCUGCAUGGCUGUCGUCAGCUCGUGUCGUGAGAUGUUGGGUUAAGUCCCGCAACGAGCGCAACCCUUGUCCUUAGUUGCCAUCAUUUAGUUGGGCACUCUAAGGAGACUGCCGGUGUUAAACCGGAGGAAGGUGGGGAUGACGUCAAGUCCUCAUGGCCUUUAUGACCAGGGCUACACACGUACUACAAUGGCCGGUACAAAGGGCAGCCACUUAGCGAUAAGGAGCCAAUCCCGUAAAGCCGGUCUCAGUCCGGAUUGGAGUCUGCAACUCGACUCCAUGAAGUUGGAAUCGCUAGUAAUCGCAGAUCAGCACGCUGCGGUGAAUACGUUCCCGGGCCUU